GCCUCUAUGGCACAGGGGUAAUGCGUGUCACUCGUACAGUGAAUUUAACUUGCGGUGUUAUGACAAGAUCCGCGGUUCGAUUCCGCGUGGAGGCA
Non-coding RNA from Xylaria sp. FL0064, 95 nucleotides. The record is from the annotation of a GenBank genome assembly. Lineage: Eukaryota; Fungi; Ascomycota; Sordariomycetes; Xylariales; Xylariaceae.